UUUGCGAGUCAUUAAUUGCUGCGGCUGAAUUGCAACGGUAGCUCAAUAAAAUCAAAUUUAGUUUUUCACAUCUCCCAGGCAGUGAAUCUAGAGCUACGGGUUAUGAAACCGCAUGAAAUCUUUUGCAAUUAGAACAGAGUGAUCUUUAUUAAGUGGCCUGCGCUAUGCAAAGCACCACCAGCGCUGUUCACAGGUCUCUGAUUUACUGCACUUCAUUUAUCGAAGUGUGUACAUCAGAGCAGAGGUAAUUUCCCAUAAUGCGAGCAGGGUGUGAGUACAAUGAAGCCUAGAUGGUAAAUAAUUGCAACCUUUUUGAGAUGCUUUUGUGCGGUGACGUUUUAUUGAUGUUUCUUCAUCAUCACUCUCAGCUGAGUACAAGAAAAAUAAAACAGGCGCCCGAAUGCCUAGGAAACCAUUUCAGAAAGAUGAUCCGAACAUUUCCGCCUUCCGUGAAUUUGACAGAGUGGUGAAUGUGUGAGGGAUUGCUGCUUCCAAAGGGGAGGCAUCGUAGUAAAUGAUGCAAAUUGGCAGGAUUACAGAAUGUAAUGAAUCCAAAGAAGAUUUCAAAAUAUAAUUGGAAAGGGUGUCAAAGAAAAAAAAAAUGGUUAGUCUGUUUUAUCUGUUAGUGGGACUUGAGCUUACAUCCUAUUAAGAAUUUUAGCCGUGCCAGAGAAAAAGAAAGAUGAAAUGUAGCGCCGACACUCAUGAGCACUAUUACUGAACAAUAACCUGCGUGUAGGGGGAUUGCAGAAGAGUUGUCACGGGUUCUUCAUUGUUCUUUAACUCCUAAGGGAAGAGAAAAUCUGUGUCUUAGAAAUUUUUUCCCUGCAUUUUGACUUCUGCAUUUCCUUAUGCUAAUCAGACUUGGGUGAGGUGAAGUAUGCUUAUGGAGAGUGAAUUAAGUGCUUCGAGCCGCUGCGUCUCUCGCCUGCAGGAAGCAGUGCUAACGAGCAGUGCCAUGCGGCCUGGCAGCGAAGGGGUGGCACGGCCUGCAGCCCCUGCCCCACUGCUCCCAUCCCCACGGACACAAAGUGCCCCUUCCUUCUGCAGUCGUCCUUCUUGCAUCACCAGAAAAAGUGCACAGUCAUUCCCUCUUCUCCUUCCUCUUCCCAGCACCCAGCCUACAACUCCACUAGAAAACCUGUCUGGAAAACAGAUGGUGCCAUCCGGGAAUGUGAAUAAAGACGUGGGGAGCCCCCAGGCUCAAGCUCUCAGAAGCAGACAACAAGCACAGCCUCUGUGUGCAGGAGGGGAGGACCUGCGCCCUGAGAGCGCACCAACGAUGUCACCAUGUCACUGCAAGCAGGGCGAGCAACAAGGGACAGGAACGCUGCCCGCAGACCUGAGGCUGCUGCUGUGUGGGAGCUGUGCCAGGCAUGCUAUGGGCACCAGGAAAACCCAGGAGCUCCGUGCCAGCCUGGUGCGGGCUGCCCUGGGGCAGCUGUGUGCUCUGCUGCGGGCUGCCCCUCGAGCUGCUUGGCUGCUGUGCGCUGUGCAGGGCUGCACGGGCUGCUCGGCUGCAGCUCAGGGCUGCGGUGGCAGAGAGGCAAAUCGCAGCGCCCAGCUGCAUGCAUUUCUUGUAAAUGCAAAUGCUCAGUCUGCCUUAAAAAUCCAGAGUGUCACUGAUUCAUUAUACCGUGGCCGUGGCAUUUGCAGCUCGCCCUGCUUCCAAGCGUUCCGUCGUGCUGAUGCGUCCCGUGGGAGCUCCGCUGCCCGGCGGUGCGCUGGGAGCCCCGAUGGCUGCGGGCUGCUGCACCUGCGCUGGGAGGAUUUGUUCCUUCUGGAGAGAGCGCGCAUCGAGACAGGGAGGGGGCAGCGCUCCCGUUGUGAAUACAAUGAGUCCUGCAAACAGCUCAUAAAUCAAGAGUCACUUGGAGAGGGAGGCACUGCAUCUCCUCUUCCCCCUGGGCUGCCAGCUGAGGCUUACACGAACGUGCUGCCAGGAAGAGGCUUUUUCUUUUUUCCUUUUUUUCUUUUUCUUUUCCUUUUUUUCCUUUUCUUUUAAUUUUUCUUCUUUUUCUUCUUUUCUUCUCCUACUUUUUCUUUUUCUUUCUUUUUUUUCUUUUUCUUUUUUCCAAAUGGCCAACCUCUUGCACUUAGCACAAACACAUUUCUAUGGAUAAGGGGAAUGAGGAUAAAAGAGGAGAGAUCUAGGUUAGAUGUGAGAAGGCAAUUCUUCAUCCAGAGGUGGUGAGGCCCUGGCACUGCUGCCCAGAGCUGUGGGUGCCCCAUCCCUUGGGGGUACCUGAGGCCAUGGAUGGGCCCUAGGCAACCAGAGCUGGGGGGACACCCAGACCUCAGCAGGGGCUGGCACUGCUUGAUCCUUAAGGUCACAUCAAACUUAAGUCAUUCUAUGAU
RNAcentral lists this long non-coding RNA (2358 nucleotides) under Numida meleagris (helmeted guineafowl). Its description in RNAcentral is "lncRNA (ENSNMEG00000010939.1)". Lineage: Eukaryota; Metazoa; Chordata; Aves; Galliformes; Numididae. The record is from RNAcentral.